GUGCCAGCAGCCGCGGUAAUACGAAGGGGGCGAGCGUUGUUCGGAUUUACUGGGCGUAAAGGGCGCGUAGGCGGCGCCGGAAGUCGAGUGUGAAAGCCCCGGGCUCAACCUGGGAGGUGCGCUCGAGACUCUGGUGCUUGAGUUCGGGAGAGGAGAGUGGAAUUCCCAGUGUAGAGGUGAAAUUCGUAGAUAUUGGGAAGAACACCAGUGGCGAAGGCGGCUCUCUGGACCGAGACUGACGCUGAGGCGCGAAAGCGUGGGGAGCAAACAGGAUUAGAUACCCUGGUAGUCC
Molecule: ribosomal RNA, 292 nt
Filed under: uncultured bacterium
Lineage: Bacteria
Description: partial 16S ribosomal RNA
Rfam family: Bacterial small subunit ribosomal RNA
Source: RNAcentral